CGGUAAUUCCAGCUCCAAUAGCGUAUACUAAAGUUGUUGCAGUUAAAAAGCUCGUAGUUGGAUUUCUGCGGGGACGGAGCGGCCGGACGCAACUUGCGUCUCGAGCUAGCGCUUUCCCCGCAUCCUGCCGCGAACCGUGCUACCAUUAGUUUGGUGGCGCCGGGGAUCGGCUCGAUUACUUUGAGAAAAAUAGAGUGUUCAAAGCAGGCCACACGCCUUGAAUAAGUUAGCAUGGAAUAAUGACUAAGGACUUUGGUUCUUUUCGUUGGUGUUCGGGACUGAAGUAAUGAUUGAUAGGGACAGUUGGGGCGGUCCGUAUUCCAAAGCGAGAGGUGAAAUUCUUAGACCUUCGGAAGACGAACAGCUGCGAAAGCGUUCCGCAAGGAUGUUCCCUUUGAUCAAGAACGAAAGUUGGGGGAUCGAAGACGAUCAGAUACCGUCGUAGUCUCAACUAUAAACUAUACCAGCUAGGGAUCGGCCAACGUUUAACUUUAUCGACUUGGUCGGCACCUUAUGAGAAAUCAAAGCAUCUGGGUUCCGGGGGGAGUAUGGUCGCAAGGCUGAAACUUAAAGGAAUUGACGGAAGGGCACCACCAGCCGUGGAGCCUGUGGCUUAAUUUGACUCAACACGGGAAAACUUACCAGGUCCAGACAUAGGAAGGAUUGACAGAUUGAUAGCCCUUUCUUGAUUCUGUGGGUGGUGGUGCAUGGCCGUUUUUAGUCGGUGGAUGUGAUCUGUCUGCUUAAUUGCGUUAACGGACGAGACCCCAGCCUGCUAAAUAGCGCGGCCGAGCUUUGCUCGGUGCGAGCUUCUUAGAGGGACCAUGAUGCGCGAUAGCACAAGGAAGUUUGGGGCAACAACAGGUCUGUGAUGCCCUUAGAUGUUCUGGGCCGCACACGGGCUACACUGGCGCCUGCAACGAGCAUAUCAGCUGGCCCGAGAGGGUCUUGGCUAAUCUUUGGAACCGGCGCCGUGCUUGGGAUUGACCAUUGCAAUUGUUGGUCAUGCAACGAGGAAUGCCUUGUAAACGCGAGUCAUCAGCUCGCAUUGAAUACGUCCCUGCCCUUUGUACACACCGCCCGUCGCUCCUACCGAUGAAUGUUCCGAUGAAAUUUUCGGAGAGCACCAGAGAACGGGGCUCUGCCUUGCAGAACUGGAGGCUCAAAGUCACUUAAAUCUGAACAUUUCGAGGAAGGAGAAGUCGUAACAAGGUAGCCG
RNAcentral lists this ribosomal RNA (1219 nucleotides) under uncultured Rhizaria. RNAcentral describes it as "SSU rRNA". It matches the Rfam family "Eukaryotic small subunit ribosomal RNA", at positions 577 to 1805 of the family's 1831-position model. The record is from RNAcentral.